Molecule: ribosomal RNA, 252 nt
Filed under: uncultured bacterium
Lineage: Bacteria
Description: partial 16S ribosomal RNA
Rfam family: Bacterial small subunit ribosomal RNA
Source: RNAcentral
UACGUAGGGGGCGAGCGUUAUCCGGAAUUACUGGGCGUAAAGCGCACGUAGCGGUUCGCCAAGUUUGGAGUGACAGUUGUCGGCUCAACCGACAAAGGACUUCAAAAACUGGUGAACUUGAGGACGAGAGAGGAACAUGGAACUCCAGGUGUAGUAGUGAAAUGCGUAGAUAUCUGGAAGAACACCAAUGGCGAAGGCAAUGUUCUGGCUCGUUUCUGACGCUCAGGUGCGAAAGCCAGGGGAGCGAACGGG